GGACGUCUGGUCGCGGCCCGGUGGCGGCGGGGGUAUCAGCCGUGUGUUGCAGGACGGCGGGGUUUGGGAGAAGGCCGGGGUCAAUGUCUCAGUGGUGUACGGGUCAAUGCCGCCUGAGGCUUACCGCGCCGCCAAGGGAGCGACUGGGGAUUCAUCGGUUAAGGCUGGACCUGUACCAUUCUUUGCUGCUGGAAUCAGCUCGGUUUUACAUCCAAAGAAUCCGUUUGCGCCGACACUGCAUUUUAACUAUCGAUAUUUUGAGACAGAUGCACCAAAAGAUGCUCCAGGUGCACCUAGGCAAUGGUGGUUU
Molecule: unclassified non-coding RNA, 310 nt
Filed under: Hevea brasiliensis (rubber tree)
Lineage: Eukaryota; Viridiplantae; Streptophyta; Magnoliopsida; Malpighiales; Euphorbiaceae
Source: RNAcentral